Molecule: long non-coding RNA, 350 nt
Organism: Poecilia latipinna (sailfin molly)
Lineage: Eukaryota; Metazoa; Chordata; Actinopteri; Cyprinodontiformes; Poeciliidae
Exons: 2
Source: RefSeq, a predicted model, not a curated record
CGAACGCAAAUCGGUUUGUUUGUGCUAAUUGGUGUUGGGGGAGGAAAAUCUCCUGGUGUGUUCUGGUGAAGGGGGAUAAAAGUGGGCAUCUUCAAAAAUUGGUUUGAAAGCACCUGAGCGUGGAGCUGAGUGUGGCUCAGGUCGAGGCUCUGCCGCCGUAAAAUGCUCCAGUCAAGGCUGCUCUUUGUGUUGUGAAAAAAAAUCUGUUCCUCUUUCUUUUUCCUUUAUUUUCUGUUAACUAAUCACUUUUUCUUUUUCUUUUUUCUCCUUCCCCCGCCACACAGCAUCAUAAAAACCAAUCCGCUCUACUUGGAAACGUCUAUGUAGGGUAACAUGUAGGGAAAAAAAAA